AUUGAACGCUGGCGGCAUGCUUUACACAUGCAAGUCGAACGGCAGCGCGGGCUUCGGCCUGGCGGCGAGUGGCGAACGGGUGAGUAUACAUCGGAACGUGCCCAGUAGUGGGGGAUAGCUCGGCGAAAGCCGGAUUAAUACCGCAUACGACCUGAGGGUGAAAGCGGGGGAUCUUCGGACCUCGCGCUAUUGGAGCGGCCGAUGGCAGAUUAGCUAGUUGGUGGGGUAAAGGCCUACCAAGGCGACGAUCUGUAGCUGGUCUGAGAGGACGACCAGCCACACUGGGACUGAGACACGGCCCAGACUCCUACGGGAGGCAGCAGUGGGGAAUUGUGGACAAUGGGCGAAAGCCUGAUCCAGCAAUGCCGCGUGUGUGAUGAAGGCCUUCGGGUUGUAAAGCACUUUUGGCGGGAACGAAAAGGACUGUGCCAAUACCACGGUUCGAUGACGGUACCCGCAGAAUAAGCACCGGCUAACUACGUG
This 483-nucleotide ribosomal RNA is filed under the name uncultured bacterium. RNAcentral describes it as "partial 16S ribosomal RNA". It matches the Rfam family "Bacterial small subunit ribosomal RNA", at positions 29 to 507 of the family's 1533-position model. The record is from RNAcentral.